RNAcentral lists this ribosomal RNA (433 nucleotides) under uncultured bacterium. RNAcentral describes it as "partial 16S ribosomal RNA". It matches the Rfam family "Bacterial small subunit ribosomal RNA", at positions 29 to 507 of the family's 1533-position model. The record is from RNAcentral.
AACGAACGCUGGCGGCAUGCCUAACACAUGCAAGUCGAACGAGACCUUCGAGUCUAGUGGCGCACGGGUGCGUAACGCGUGGGAACCUGCCCUUAGGUUCGGAAUAACUCCCCGAAAGGGGUGCUAAUACCGGAUAAUGUCUUCGGACCAAAGAUUUAUCGCCUUUGGAUGGGCCCGCGUUGGAUUAGCUAGUUGGUAGGGUAAAAGCCUACCAAGGCGACGAUCCAUAGCUGGUCUGAGAGGAUGAUCAGCCACACUGGGACUGAGACACGGCCCAGACUCCUACGGGAGGCAGCAGUGGGGAAUAGUGGACAAUGGGCGAAAGCCUGAUCCAGCAAUGCCGCGUGAGUGAUGAAGGCCUUAGGGUUGUAAAGCUCUUUUACCCGGGAUGAUAAUGACAGUACCGGGAGAAUAAGCUCCGGCUAACUCCGUG